This is a long non-coding RNA of Lontra canadensis (Northern American river otter), 313 nucleotides long. RefSeq lists it as uncharacterized. The transcript has 3 exons. Lineage: Eukaryota; Metazoa; Chordata; Mammalia; Carnivora; Mustelidae. The record is from RefSeq and is a predicted model, not a curated record.
CCGAGCGCCGGGCGGGCCUCGCACCCCGCCCGGGACGCGCCGGGGAGCUGGCGAAGGUCCAGUGUGGCCGGGGUUCGGCCCUCGGUGGCCGGCACUCGAGGCCCGGGCCGCCACCUACCCAGUUACCUGUGGUCAACCUCCUGGAAUAGAUGACCUUCCUUUUGAGAUACAGGCAGAAAGUCAGUAGCUUCUUCUCAAGGCACACCUCAUUCUCCUCACUUCAUCUCAUCAGGAACUACGUGAUGUGGAGUAAAGGUGUCCUACCUGGGCUGGGCAGCCCCUCAGGAGAGUUUGCUUCCAAAACACCGUCCGA